AGUAGUUUGACUCCGUGGCUACAGAACGACGCUGGCGGCAGGCUUAACACAUGCAAGUCGAACGGGCGCCUUCGGGCGUCAGUGGCGGACGGGUGAGUAACGCGUGGGAACGUACCCUUUGGUUCGGAAUAACCCAGGGAAACCUGGGCUAAUGCCGGAUGUGCCCGCUUUCCAAAGCGGGGAAAGGUUGACUGCCGAAGGAUCGGCCCGCGUCGGAUUAGCUGGUUGGUGGGGUAACGGCCUACCAAGGCGACGAUCCGUAGCUGGUCUGAGAGGAUGAUCAGCCACACUGGGACUGAGACACGGCCCAGACUCCUACGGGAGGCAGCAGUGGGGAAUAUUGGUCAAUGGGGGAAACCCUGAACCAGCCAUGCCGCGUGAGUGAAGAAGGCCUUAGGGUUGUAAAGCUCUUUCAGCGGGGACGAUAAUGACGGUACCCGCAGAAGAAGCCCCGGCUAACUUCGUG
Molecule: ribosomal RNA, 466 nt
Filed under: uncultured Hyphomicrobiales bacterium
Lineage: Bacteria; Pseudomonadati; Pseudomonadota; Alphaproteobacteria; Hyphomicrobiales
Description: bacterial SSU rRNA
Rfam family: Bacterial small subunit ribosomal RNA
Source: RNAcentral